Molecule: unclassified non-coding RNA, 203 nt
Filed under: plant metagenome
Description: partial contains small subunit ribosomal RNA and internal transcribed spacer 1
Rfam family: Eukaryotic small subunit ribosomal RNA (bases 1-46)
Source: RNAcentral
AAGUCGUAACAAGGUUUCCGUAGGUGAACCUGCGGAAGGAUCAUUAUCGUAGGGCUUUUUGUCCUGUCGAGAUAGCGUCCUUGCCUAUUUUUUUGGAGCACCGUUCGUUUCCUCAGCAGGCUUGCCUGCUACUGGGGGACCCCUCAAACUCUUUUGUAAAAUACAGUAAUCGUCUGAAAAAAUCAAACAAAAAAAGUCAAAAG